GAGCUCGGAGAGCACGGGGUCCGACUCUCUAGACUAGUUCCCUUCUGCUUUUUUUUUCGUACUUCAGAGAGCUUCGCUCACAUUUUGACAGCAAAAUGUUCCUUCUGGUUGUGUUAGUGUGAAAAGUGUUGAAAGGGCAGAGUGCAUGCAGAGUACAAUGCAGCAAAUGUGGAAAAGACAAGAACUCACAGCACCAUGAAGAUGUCCUCUGCUCUGGUCACUUUAUUUGGACGCUGCAAUUUAGGACUAACAGGACAGCAAAGCUAUCGCUCAUCCUUCUUAUUACAGUCGUUUUUACAUGUUUUACAAAAUUGUUGAACACAAUUAUUAGUUUCAAUUUAUGAAAUUGGCAAUACAAUUUUGUGUUCAAUUAGAAGUAUGUCUAUUAAUAAGAGAACAAACAUGGUUGAAAAAGUUAACAAUUAUACAGCUUAUAACUGGAUUUGA
This is a non-coding RNA of Drosophila virilis, 447 nucleotides long. NCBI's taxonomy places the organism in Eukaryota, Metazoa, Arthropoda, Insecta, Diptera, Drosophilidae. The record is from RefSeq and is a predicted model, not a curated record.